This 62-nucleotide microRNA precursor is filed under the name Lottia gigantea (owl limpet). Its description in RNAcentral is "Lgi-Mir-31_pre stem-loop". Lineage: Eukaryota; Metazoa; Mollusca; Gastropoda; Lottiidae. The record is from RNAcentral.
AGGCAAGAUGUUGGCAUAGCUGAGUCAUAUAUGAACCAUCAGCUGUGUCUCAUAUUGCUAUC